Non-coding RNA from Macaca mulatta (Rhesus monkey), 186 nucleotides. Lineage: Eukaryota; Metazoa; Chordata; Mammalia; Primates; Cercopithecidae. The record is from RefSeq and is a predicted model, not a curated record.
CAAUUCUCAUGCCUCAGCCUCCAGAGUAGCUGGGAUUACAGGCUGCACAGGAAUGAUGGUGCCAGCAUUUGCAUCCGAUGAUGGCACAGGGUGCUUUCAUACAUGGUGGAGGGUGAAGUGGAGCUGGCAUGCAGGGAUCAUAUGGCAAGGCCUGUGAUGAGAAGGGCUGCCAUGAAGACCUCUGAC